AAAUUAUACAGAUCUAAUUUUCAUUAAGCUGUAGACUACAAAUGUGAACAGCAUUUGCGACUGGGUGGUGUUAAUUUUAUAUUAUUUAUUAGCUUCAUAACAACAGAUUUUCUCGAGCACACUUCUUCAGUCGUAUUAAGUAACGUAAAAAGUGCUGAAAUGUCAGUCUGUUACAUUCAUUUCGAAAUAAUAAGCAAUUUAAAUUGCGUGCUUCAAAUAUUUAUCUAUAGAAUUACGUUUUCAAGGAGAGAAAGCAUGAUAUAGAUAAGAACUAUCCUACAAGAUAAAGAUAACGUCGACAUUCUUCUAUCAGUUCCAGAUAUAGACGUAAUUUGAUACAGAAUUUAUGAAGACCAGAUAUUGAUAUCACGUCUUGGCAUUCCUUGAAUUCCAAGAAUGACUACACCAAACUUUUCAGCUUGGGGUCAGCAAACGGAUAUUUAAGUUAGGAACGUAUUUGGGCUACAGAGAGAAAUUAAGUACGGAAUGGAGGUUCUUAAACAAGAAUUAUGUAACUGUCUUAACACACAGAAGGAUGACGUUUUGUGAGGCAGAUAGUCCCAUUUUUAACGUCGGUACAAGGUCGAGGAGAAUUGUCAGCUAUAGGCACUGGCUGCCUUUACCCACCAAAUGGAUUGGAGAAUAGUUGGCCCCAGAACCGUUUUGUUCCUGUUACAAUGGGGCGAGACUGUGUCUCUGUAGGACUGCAACUGCCAACGACUUUUUGUUCAGCCCCCAGAUGAUACACGAGUGAAUAUGAAGAAGCUGUGAAAUGAUGACAGGAGAAAACUGAAAAACUCAGAGAAAAACUUGUCCCAGUGCCACUUUGUCCACCAAAAAUUACACUGGAUUGCACUGAGUACAAACCUGGGUCUGCGUGGUGAUGAGCUAGCCUGCGACUAACUGCCUGAGCUAUGGCACAAAUUAUUUUGUGAAGACAGAGCAGGCUCAUAUUUACAACUGCCAAAUAAAUUCCCCACUUAAUGGUACCUGCACGUUGUCAUGGUGGUGGGGCUUGAGUACCUCAGUGAC
Molecule: non-coding RNA, 1032 nt
Organism: Zootermopsis nevadensis
Lineage: Eukaryota; Metazoa; Arthropoda; Insecta; Blattodea; Termopsidae
Source: RefSeq, a predicted model, not a curated record